GAGUGACCGAGCCCCGGCGGGGGACUGACGGAGCCCCGGUGAAGGAGUGGCCCCGGGCGUCUGGGAUAAAGUCUCAAUGUGUGCAUCAAAUCAAAAGCUGGCUUUACUUUUAGAUGAUGGAUACAGAUCUAUGUUAUGGCUACUGGGCAGGAGAUAGAAAAGAGGAGGCCUCCAGUAGGGAACUCCCAGAAGCCAGAGGCAGAGCAGCGAUUGUCCUGGAGCCGCCAGUUCCCAACCAAGGUUCCAAGAACGAUGUGGCAGUACCAGAGGAGAAGACUUUUGGUGUGGUACUGGAAAAAAUGCUCCAGCAGCAAUGGCAGAUGUUCCCAUCUGCAGGGCACUUAGAGCCCUCAGCAAUGGAGAAGAAGGAUGAGGAUGAAUUCCACACGUCGGAUACUCCUGGCAGGAGACUUGACCG
Long non-coding RNA from Corvus hawaiiensis (hawaiian crow), 418 nucleotides. RefSeq lists it as uncharacterized. Lineage: Eukaryota; Metazoa; Chordata; Aves; Passeriformes; Corvidae. The record is from RefSeq and is a predicted model, not a curated record. The transcript has 3 exons.